RNAcentral lists this long non-coding RNA (504 nucleotides) under Salvia miltiorrhiza (redroot sage). RNAcentral's name for it is "long non-coding RNA (SMIL_LNC009620)". Lineage: Eukaryota; Viridiplantae; Streptophyta; Magnoliopsida; Lamiales; Lamiaceae. The record is from RNAcentral.
UUUUUUAUUAAUUUUUUAAAAAUUAUAUUAUAUUAUAUUAUAUUAAAAAUAACAAAUAAAUUGUUUAUCCUAAAAUUUGAAUUUAUUCCUAGAUAUAGAUUUUAAAAAAUAAAAAAAUCAUAGUAACAUUUUUUUUUGUUUUAUCAUUAAGUAACACUUAUAUAAAAUCUAAAUUAGAAAUCUAAAUACCAAAAAUUGAAUAUUAAAAGUGAAAAAAGAGAAAAAAGAAAAAAGAAAAAAAAGGAAUAGAUUUUAUUUAGAAAAUUUAGAAAUUAACCCCAAAACUACAAGCCCUAGUUCGUCCUCCCUCCCUGUCUCCUCCCUGUCUCUCGACUCUCUCUCUCUCCCCUCUCGACUCCGCCGCCGGCGCCGCUGCCCCACGCCGGCCCGUCGCCGCCCACCCUCGCUGCUGCCCCGCGCCCUAGUUCUUCUCUGUUCGAUUGGUCGAGCCCUAGUUCUUCUCUGUUCGGUACAACGCAGCCGUCGCCAUCUCAGGGAGACCGG